CGCCUAUCAAGUCCAGAUAAACUCCGAAUGGGCAUAAGUUAAUACCGGGAGUGAGGGCAUGGGUGCUAAGGUCCAUGUCCGAGAGGGAAAGAACCCAGACCAUCAGCUAAGGUCCCCAAAUACAUGUUAAGUUGAAUUAACGAAGUAUGACUACUAAGACAGCUAGGAUGUUGGCUUGGAAGCAGCCAUUCAUUUAAAGAGUGCGUAACAGCUCACUAGUCGAGUGGUCGUGCGUGGAUAAUAAUCGGGCAUUAAACAUGUUACCGAAGCUAUGGGAUAAAUAUUAUCGGUAGGGGAGCAUUCUGCUCCGCGUUGAAGGCGAACCGUCAGGUUCUCUGGAGCGUGCAGAAAAGCAAAUGUAGGUAUAAGUAACGAUAAAGGAGGUGAGAAACCUCCUCGCCGAAAGACUAAGGUUUCCUGAUCAACGCUAAUCGGAUCAGGGUAAGUCGGGCCCUAAGGCUAAGCCGAAUGGCAAUGCCGAUGGAAGAACCGGUUAAUAUUCCGGUACUGUAUUAAUGAGUGAAGUGGGGACGCAGGAGUGACACUACUGCCAUCUGACGGAUUAGAUGGUUAAAGGGAGUAGGCGUUGACGGGGGUAGGCAAAUCCGCCCUUGGAGCUGAAUCUGAUAGUACUACAAACCUUCGGGUGCGUAGAUAAUGUAGGUAAUCCGACUGCCGAGAAAAUCCGCUAAACGCUAAUCAUUAAUGCAUCCGUACCACAAACGGACACACGUAGUCGGGUUGAAAAUACUAAGGCGCUCGAGCGAUUCACAGUUAAGGAAUUAGGCAAAAUGACCCUGUAACUUCGGGAUAAAGGGUGCCAUCUGAAAGGGUGGCCGCAGAGAAUAGGUCAAGGCAACUGUUUAUCAAAAACACAUGGCUAUGCUAAUAAGAAAUUAGAUGUAUAUAGUCUGACACCUGCCCGGUGCUGGAAGGUUAAGAGGAGAAGUCAUAGGCAACUAGAAGCUUUGAAUUGAAGCCCCAGUAAACGGCGGCCGUAACUAUAACGGUCCUAAGGUAGCGAAAUUCCUUGUCGGGUAAGUUCCGACCUGCACGAAUGGUGUAAUGAUCUUGACACUGUCUCAACUGUGAUCUCGGUGAAAUUGUAGUAUCGGUGAAGAUGCCGAUUACCCGCGAUGGGACGAAAAGACCCCGUGAACCUUUACUAUAGCUUUACAUUGA
Molecule: ribosomal RNA, 1182 nt
Filed under: bioreactor metagenome
Description: bacterial LSU rRNA
Rfam family: Bacterial large subunit ribosomal RNA
Source: RNAcentral